RNAcentral lists this ribosomal RNA (449 nucleotides) under uncultured bacterium. RNAcentral describes it as "partial 16S ribosomal RNA". It matches the Rfam family "Bacterial small subunit ribosomal RNA", at positions 29 to 523 of the family's 1533-position model. The record is from RNAcentral.
AACGAACGCUGGCGGCAGGCCUAACACCUGCAAGUCGAACGGGACCUUCGUGUCUAGUGACGGACGGGUGAGUAACGCGUGGGAACGUGGCCUGUGGUCCGGAAUAGCCUCGGGAAACUGGGAGUAAUACCGGAAAAGCCCUACGGGGGAAAGAUUUAUCGCCAAAGGAGCGGCCCGGGGUGGAUGAGGUAGGUGGUGGGGUAAUGGCCGACCAAGUCGACGAUCCAUAGCUGGCUUGAGAGGAUGAUCAGCCACACUGGGACUGAGACACGGGCCAGACUGCUACGGUAGGCAACAGUGGGGAAUUUUAAACAAUGGGGGAAACCCUAAUCUGGCCAUGCCGCGUGAUCGAUGAAGGCCUUAGGGUUGUAAAGAUCUUUCAGUGGGGAAGAUAAUGACUGCACCCACAGAAGAAGCCCCGGCUAACUCCGUGCCAGCCGCCGCCGUAA